RNAcentral lists this long non-coding RNA (1677 nucleotides) under Theobroma cacao (cacao). RNAcentral's name for it is "long non-coding RNA (TCAC_LNC004341)". The record is from RNAcentral. Lineage: Eukaryota; Viridiplantae; Streptophyta; Magnoliopsida; Malvales; Malvaceae.
UUCCUGCAAAACUUUUCUUAGCAAUUAUUAAACUUUUAACCAUUCAUGGGUGUGAGCUUCAUGUGGAUUCCGUAUAAUAUUGAAGAUCAAAAAGGAAAUUUACUUCCCAAUUUUUUUUAGUAGGUCAUUUUAGCUGCCAAGAAAACAAGAUUUCUCAUCAUUACUAAUAAUUCAUCAAAAUAGUUUUUCAACAUAAACAGAAACAAGCGCCUUUUACUUUGUUUUAGCAAAACAGAAAGUGUUUUUGGAGGGACUCUCAAACCCUGAGGUCAUCAUUGUUGUUUUGGGCUUAUUUAACAAAUCAAACAUUCAAGUUGUUCAAAGCCCAAUUUCUUGGAAUUUUUUUGUGGGAAAAGUUUUGGCCUUUAUAUUUUUCAUUGAGUUUUUCCAUGGGCUAUGAUAUGUGGCAUUACUAUUAAGUCGGAUUGAGGGAUCAAAGGAAAUUUACGAAUUUAGAGAUUUGAUAUGUUUUAAAAAUAUUCAAAUUUAUAGGUGUAAGUGUAAUCGAACCAAGAUUUGACAAUAUAGCAUGAAGCUUGAGCUUCCAUUUGAUUAAAAAAAAAGCAAACUUUGUUUGUCCUUUUUAUUUUCUGGAUUUUAAUUCUUUUUAAGACAUGAAGAAAGUUGGAGUAUCAUUCUUUUCAUUUCACCUCUUUUAUUUUUUCGUUUUUCUAAUUUCACUAAAUUUCCAUUUUACUCCCAUCGUUCAUUAAAAUAACAAAUCUAUAAAUGUUACUAAUAAUACUAUGGAGAAAAUCGAGAAACAUAGUUAAAAGAUGAGUUUUUUAGUUAGAGUUAAAAAGCAAAAGGUUGCAUAAAAUUAAAGAGAAACAGAAUAAAUGUUAAUAUUUUAUUAAAAAAAGUAAGAAAUUUCACAAAUUUAAUCUCAAAGGUAGAAUUUGAAAUGAAAAUAAUUAGGAUUCGUCAAAGUUGCUCAUCCAAAUUUAAGAAUUUUAAUAAUUUCAAUUUUCAUUUCGUCAAACAAAAUAACAAUAAAAUUAGCCAAACAGAGCUGUUCUCUAACUGAUUUAUGCAUUUGUUUUUUAUAACAAUAAAAUUAAAAAUUAGCACUUAAACUAACGUGACAAACCAUAAAAGAACUCCAAGGACUAGAACAUGAAGUUUUCCAUACCACAAAGGUGUGAUAGCUUGACUUUAACAUGAGGGUAAAGAAAUGAGGUAACAAUUUUAAACACCUCAGGUUUAACAUGCCAGCACCAGGAAAACCAACAACCUCCAUUAGAGAGCUCAAUUAGUAGCCUUCUGAUUGUUUUCAUUCCCAAAAUUUUUCCUUUUAUACUCCAUGUAAUUGAAAGGAUAACUUUUAAUUGUUCACACUCAUAUUGAAUAAAAGCCAUCCAAUCAAAAACUAAUUGACUUGGCAAUACUUGAGAAGGAUUUGCUGAGAAAGAACAUGUGGCCGCUCAACACAUUUUGCCUAAACAUAACCCCAUAAAUCAUUAGAAUUCCCAAUCCUCAAAACUCAAACUUCCUGUUAGCAAACUACAACUAUAAUUUUUCUGAGACCUGGUUUACCCUAAAACCAGUAACACAAAAAAAAAAAAAAGAAAAACAAAGACAUUGAAAAUAAAGAAACGACUUACAAAGAUAAGCAACACGAGGGGCUUUCCAUUCCAGCAUGUUAGCAACUCUAAGAAACCUUUGAAUUUCAGAAGC